CUACCCUUUAAAUGGGAUAGACACCCUGUUACAUUAUCCAAAAAAAAUGUUUUUCUGUUGACUUUCAGGAAAUUUCAUGACACAGUAGAGAUUUACACAUGUAGGACAGGAACACAGGGAUGAAACAAGCCAGCUCUUUAUUUUCACUAAUGUUCUUUCCUUUUUGCUGCCUUCUCCCAGACUCUCGAGGUGGAGUGAGUCGCAGCAGUAAUAAGUAAG
Molecule: long non-coding RNA, 219 nt
Filed under: Chrysemys picta bellii (western painted turtle)
Lineage: Eukaryota; Metazoa; Chordata; Testudines; Emydidae
Description: lncRNA (ENSCPBG00000016399.1)
Source: RNAcentral